UUAGGAUCAGCGGAGGGAGAAAAACUCAGUUCAUACUCACCAGGCAGCAGCUUUAAAUUUGAAGUGAAAGGAGACCCGGGGGCAAAUGUCAGCCUGGUUGCUGUGGAUAAUGCCAUCUUUCUGUUGAGUAAAAACCAUCUGACGCAGAAGAAGGUGUGGGAGGUGGUGGGUCAGGGUGAUAUGGGCUGCACCGCAGGAGGAGGCAGGAAUAAUAUGGGUGUUUUCAGUGAUGCAGGACUGGUGUUUUAUUCCAGCACAGGAGAAUCUACUGACU
Molecule: long non-coding RNA, 274 nt
Organism: Sinocyclocheilus grahami
Lineage: Eukaryota; Metazoa; Chordata; Actinopteri; Cypriniformes; Cyprinidae
Exons: 2
Source: RefSeq, a predicted model, not a curated record